AGGCAAGCUAACCACACAGCCAGACCAGCACCUGCUGUAAAAGUUAACUGCCACGCUUCUACCUCAACUCCUAUGGGGCCUGGAUCCUGUAAACUGGGCCAACUCUCAGCAGCUAAAAAUUAAGGAGUUUCUGUACAAGCUGGUUUGAAGAUUUACAACAGAGGACAGGAAUCAAGUCAGGAAGUGACUUGGAGUAUCAGUACAGAGCUUCUCCUUUGAUCCAAAACUUGAGUACUGUUCAUCCAGCUAUAAAUCUGUACAUGUCCUGUUGCACUGGGAUAU
This is a long non-coding RNA of Ictalurus punctatus (channel catfish), 282 nucleotides long. RefSeq lists it as uncharacterized. The transcript has 3 exons. NCBI's taxonomy places the organism in Eukaryota, Metazoa, Chordata, Actinopteri, Siluriformes, Ictaluridae. The record is from RefSeq and is a predicted model, not a curated record.